Non-coding RNA from Sciurus carolinensis (gray squirrel), 75 nucleotides. The record is from the annotation of a RefSeq genome assembly. NCBI's taxonomy places the organism in Eukaryota, Metazoa, Chordata, Mammalia, Rodentia, Sciuridae.
UUUUGGGUACAGCUCAGUGGUAGAGUGUUUGCCUAGCGUGCACAAGGCCCUGGGUUCGAUCCCCAGCACUGAAAA